AGUCGAGCGGACCUUUCGGGGUCAGCGGCGGACGGGUGAGUAACGCGUGGGAAUGUGCCCUUUGCUACGGAAUAGUCCUGGGAAACUGGGGGUAAUACCGUAUGUGCCCUUCGGGGGAAAGAUUUAUCGGCAAAGGAUCAGCCCGCGUUGGAUUAGGUAGUUGGUGGGGUAAUGGCCUACCAAGCCUACGAUCCAUAGCUGGUUUGAGAGGAUGAUCAGCCACACUGGGACUGAGACACGGCCCAGACUCC
RNAcentral lists this ribosomal RNA (251 nucleotides) under uncultured bacterium. Its description in RNAcentral is "partial 16S ribosomal RNA". It matches the Rfam family "Bacterial small subunit ribosomal RNA", at positions 60 to 339 of the family's 1533-position model. The record is from RNAcentral.